GACGAACGCUGUCGGCGUGCUUAACACAUGCAAGUCGAACGGAAAGGCCCUGCUUUUGUGGGGUGCUCGAGUGGCGAACGGGUGAGUAACACGUGAGUAACCUGCCCUUGACUUUGGGAUAACUUCAGGAAACUGGGGCUAAUACCGGAUAGGAGCUCCUGCUGCAUGGUGGGGGUUGGAAAGUUUCGGCGGUUGGGGAUGGACUCGCGGCUUAUCAGCUUGUUGGUGGGGUAGUGGCUUACCAAGGCUUUGACGGGUAGCCGGCCUGAGAGGGUGACCGGCCACAUUGGGACUGAGAUACGGCCCAGACUCCUACGGGAGGCAGCAGUGGGGAAUAUUGCACAAUGGGCGGAAGCCUGAUGCAGCAACGCCGCGUGCGGGAUGACGGCCUUCGGGUUGUAACCCGCUUUCGCCUGUGACGAAGCGUGAGUGACGGUAAUGGGUAAAGAAGCACCGGCUAACUACGUGCCAGCAGCCGCGGUGAUACGUAGGGUGCGAGCGUUGUCCGGAUUUAUUGGGCGUAAAGGGCUCGUAGGUGGUUGAUCGCGUCGGAAGUGUAAUCUUGGGGCUUAACCCUGAGCGUGCUUUCGAUACGGGUUGACUUGAGGAAGGUAGGGGAGAAUGGAAUUCCUGGUGGAGCGGUGGAAUGCGCAGAUAUCAGGAGGAACACCAGUGGCGAAGGCGGUUCUCUGGGCCUUUCCUGACGCUGAGGAGCGAAAGCGUGGGGAGCGAACAGGCUUAGAUACCCUGGUAGUCCACGCUGUAAACGGUGGGUACUAGGUGUGGGGUCCAUUCCACGGGUUCCGUGCCGUAGCUAACGCUUUAAGUACCCCGCCUGGGGAGUACGGCCGCAAGGCUAAAACUCAAAGGAAUUGACGGGGCCCCGCACAAGCGGCGGAGCAUGCGGAUUAAUUCGAUGCAACGCGUAGAACCUUACCUGGGUUUGACAUGGAUCGGGAGUGCUCAGAGAUGGGUGUGCCUCUUUUGGGGUCGGUUCACAGGUGGUGCAUGGCUGUCGUCAGCUCGUGUCGUGAGAUGUUGGGUUAAGUCCCGCAACGAGCGCAACCCUUGUUCACUGUUGCCAGCACGUUAUGGUGGGGACUCAGUGGAGACCGCCGGGGUCAACUCGGAGGAAGGUGGGGAUGACGUCAAGUCAUCAUGCCCCUUAUGUCCAGGGCUUCACGCAUGCUACAAUGGCUGGUACAGAGAGUGGCGAGCCUGUGAGGGUGAGCGAAUCUCGGAAAGCCGGUCUCAGUUCGGAUUGGGGUCUGCAACUCGACCUCAUGAAGUCGGAGUCGCUAGUAAUCGCAGAUCAGCAACGCUGCGGUGAAUACGUUCCCGGGGCU
Molecule: ribosomal RNA, 1346 nt
Filed under: uncultured bacterium
Lineage: Bacteria
Description: partial 16S ribosomal RNA
Rfam family: Bacterial small subunit ribosomal RNA
Source: RNAcentral